Molecule: ribosomal RNA, 136 nt
Filed under: Deakozyma indianensis
Lineage: Eukaryota; Fungi; Ascomycota; Dipodascomycetes; Dipodascales; Trichomonascaceae
Description: 5.8S ribosomal RNA
Rfam family: 5.8S ribosomal RNA (bases 31-136)
About the family: 5.8S ribosomal RNA (5.8S rRNA) is a component of the large subunit of the eukaryotic ribosome. It is transcribed by RNA polymerase I as part of the 45S precursor that also contains 18S and 28S rRNA.
Source: RNAcentral
AACUUUAAACGAAAUCAGAACCACAUUUNNAACCUUUANCAACGGAUCUCUAGGUUCUCGCAUCGAUGAAGAACNCAGCGAAUCGCGAUAUGUAUGUGAAUUGCAGAAUGAAUCAUUAGUUUUUGAACGCACAUUG